Lepus europaeus (European hare) is the source of this 2521-nucleotide long non-coding RNA. RefSeq lists it as uncharacterized. NCBI's taxonomy places the organism in Eukaryota, Metazoa, Chordata, Mammalia, Lagomorpha, Leporidae. The record is from RefSeq and is a predicted model, not a curated record. The transcript has 5 exons.
CGGGCGUGCCGUGGCCGUCCUCCUGGGCAGCCCCAUUCUGGGCGAGGUGGCCCUGUGGACACCCCUAAGCGGCAGCCUCUCCAGUCCGGCGUCUGAAGCCUCGCCAGCCGGCAUACCCUAUUGUUCCCGUACCCUCUGCUGGCGCCCCGCACCCACCUCCAUCCGGGCUGCGGCUCCCAGAUUUGUGGUCUUGGCCCCAGGCCGCUCGGAGACAGUCUGUGAUUGGAAGACUGAAAGGAACAGGCAAGACUUAAAAUCGUUCGCUCCAACCUGCAUUUACAGAUUCCUUACGGUGGCUCUCGUGCCGUAGGGUGUGUAAUUUAGCCCAUCACGCGGGCCGUGCAAAGUGCUUGAUAGUAUGUAAGGCGCUCUCUCGUCAGUCGGGUUUAAUCCUCCAAACAGCCAGAGCGACAGAGAGAGAGAGAGUUCCCAACUACUGGUUCAUCCCCAAAAAUGCCUACAACAGCUGGCACUGAGCCAGGCCAAAGCCAGGAGCCAACAACCCACUCCAGGUGUCAGGGUUUCAACCACUGAGCCGUCACCAGCUGCUUCCCAGGGUGUGCGUUAGCAGGACACUGGAUGGAAAGCAGAGGAACCAGGACUUGAACCUAGGCACUCCUACAUAGGAUGCUGGAAUCCAAGUAGCUUCAUUGCUAGGUCAAAUGCCCACUGUGAUACACUGCUUUCUAUAUGUCAGGCAAUGUGUUCUGUGCUGGGAAGCACUGUUCAACAAGACAAGGUGUCUGCUUUGUGGGAGCUUAGAGUCCCACAGGAGAGAAAGACAUUUAACACCUAAAUAAGCAUUUAAUCUCAACUGUGAUAAGCAAUGUGAAGGCAGGAAAGCCUUCCCAGAGGCAGUGACAUUGAGCUGAUAUGGAAAGGAUGAAUAGCAACUGAGUGAAGAUGGGGGGAGAUCACCCUGGGCAGAGGGAACAGUGUCUGCCAAGACUCCGAGGGAGGAAGGAGCAGGGUUCAUCUGAGGAACUGAAAGGCCGCCUUGUUGUUGUGCUGGGAACGAGGGGGAAGUGCCUGUAGCUGCUGCAGUGAGGCCUGCAGCUCAGGCUGGGCCAGAGAGGCUGUGUGAAAAAUUUAGGUCUUUAUCCUAAAAAAGAAGGAGGAGGAUUUUAAGCUCUCAAAUGCUGAGAAUAGCAUUUUUAAAAGAUUUCCUGGGGCUGGGGUGCGAAUGGUUUAGAAAGGGGCUAGAGGAGGCUGUUCAGACUGGAGAUUAUUGCAACUCUCUAGGGAAGUGCUGGUGGCAACUGGAACUUUGUAAACAACAUCGUAAAUGUGAGAGUACUUCAGGAAACUCUUGGCCAACUAGAAUUAAAGAAUAAUACACAUUUUCCAUGAACUUUCGAAAGCACCCAUCUAAAGCUGACUGAGCUACGGUUCUUUUCCUUGGAGAAAAUCGAUGAGGGAGAGCAAUCGAGAAACAAAGGAUUGUGUGUGGUGAGCAUUACUUGAAAUAACGCCCAAAUAACUGGAGAGGCUCCAGGGAGAGAGAGCGUGAAGAUGGAAGGUACAUUACUGACCUGUUGCCACAUUUACUCCAGAAUGGAGCAGUGUAAAGUAACAUUUACCAUGUCACCGUUUCUGUGGUCCCACAAUGCAGGCCUGGGAGCUUCCUCCACAAAGUCUCUCAAGAGGUUUCAGUUAGCUUGUCAGCUGCCUGUCCUAAAGGCUUGACUGGAGGGAGAUCCACUUCCAAGUUCACUCAUGUGAAUGUUAGAGAACUUUGCUGUCUCCUAGCAUGGGCCUCUCCCCUCAGCUGUCUCACAAAACAGUAGCUGGCUUCCCUCCACAUGAAUAACCAAGAGAGAGAGCAAGAGAACAAGAGUGUGGCAGAGACAGCACCCUUGGACAGAAAACAUAGACUUAUAACUUAAACUCACAAAUGAUAUGCCAUCACCUCCGCCAUACUCUAUUGGGAGUCAAUAAGCCUGGUCUGUAAUCAAGGAAAGGGAAUUUCCAAAGGUGUGGCUACCAGGAGGUGGGAAACACUGACGUUCAUCCUUCGUGGCUGCCAUCCAUCCAUAGAGAAGGCAAACCCUUGAAGUGAUUGUGUUGGAGUUCCCCUGGAGUACCUCAGGAGGAAGGACAUUCCAGUUCUGGAAGAUAGAAGUCUGAGAUCAAGGUGACAGCAGGGGUCCUCUAAGACCUCCAGCACCUAACCACCAGAGGGUAGAAGAAAAGCUUUUCUCCCCUACAAGGGCAAUGGUCACAGAAAGAGACAGAGGCAGAGGCAGAGAGACAGGAAGACAGAAACAGAGAUCUUCUUUCCAUUGGCCCAUUCCCCAAAUGCCGGCAAAAGCAGGGGCUACACAGAGAUGAAGCAGGAGCCUCAGAGUCCACCUGGAUCUCCCACGUGGAUGGCAGGGAACCAGUACUUCAGCCAUCAUCUGCUUCCCGCAGUGUGCCUUAGUGUGAAGCUGUAUAGGAAGUGGAACAGCCAGAACUCCAGCCAGGUACUUCGUUAUGGGGUACAGGUGUCCUAAGUGGGGAGGACUUACACUGCAGGGCC